GUCCUCUUGUUUUUAUAUGAGGUCUGACCUGCCCAGUGAAAUUUUAUUUUAACGGCCGCAGUAUUUUGACUGUGCAAAGGUAGCAUAAUCAUUAGUCUUUUAAUAGGGGGCUGGUAUGAAGGGUUUGACGAGGUGUUGACUGUCUCAUUUAAUUUGUAUUUAAAAUUUAACUUUUCAGUUAAAAGGCUGAAAUUAUAUUGGAAGACGAGAAGACCCUAUAGAGCUUUAUAAUUAUGAUUUUAAUUAUUUUUUGGUUAUUAUUUUUUAUUAUGAUUUUAAUUAUUUUGUUGGGGUGACAAAAAUAUAUAAAUAACUUUUUUAUUUAAGUAACAUUGAUUUAUGACCAUUAGAUCCAUUAUUAUUGAUUGUUAGAUUAAGUUACC
RNAcentral lists this ribosomal RNA (383 nucleotides) under Gomphus vulgatissimus (common clubtail). Its description in RNAcentral is "partial 16S ribosomal RNA". The record is from RNAcentral. Lineage: Eukaryota; Metazoa; Arthropoda; Insecta; Odonata; Gomphidae.